Molecule: ribosomal RNA, 513 nt
Filed under: uncultured Pseudomonadota bacterium
Lineage: Bacteria; Pseudomonadati; Pseudomonadota
Description: bacterial SSU rRNA
Rfam family: Bacterial small subunit ribosomal RNA
Source: RNAcentral
UGGGGAAUUUUGGACAAUGGGGGAAACCCUGAUCCAGCCAUGCCGCGUGAGUGAAGAAGGCCUUCGGGUUGUAAAGCUCUUUCAGCCGGAACGAAACGGCCACGGUUAAUACCCGUGACUACUGACGGUACCGGAAGAAGAAGCACCGGCUAACUACGUGCCAGCAGCCGCGGUAAUACGUAGGGUGCGAGCGUUAAUCGGAAUUACUGGGCGUAAAGCGUGCGCAGGCGGUUUUUGUAAGUCAGAUGUGAAAUCCCCGGGCUUAACCUGGGAACUGCGUUUGAACUACAAGGCUAGAGUGUGGCAGAGGGGGGUGGAAUUCCACGUGUAGCAGUGAAAUGCGUAGAGAUGUGGAGGAACACCGAUGGCGAAGGCAGCCCCCUGGGUUAACACUGACGCUCAGGCACGAAAGCGUGGGGAGCAAACAGGAAUUAGAUACCCUGGUAGUCCACGCCCUAAACGAUGUCAACUAGUUGUCGGGUCUUAACGGACUUGGUAACGCAGCUAACGCGU